RNAcentral lists this ribosomal RNA (440 nucleotides) under uncultured bacterium. RNAcentral describes it as "partial 16S ribosomal RNA". It matches the Rfam family "Bacterial small subunit ribosomal RNA", at positions 338 to 795 of the family's 1533-position model. The record is from RNAcentral.
CCUACGGGAGGCAGCAGUGGGGAAUAUUGCACAAUGGGGGAAACCCUGAUGCAGCGACGCCGCGUGAGUGAAGAAGUAUCUCGGUACGUAAAGCUCUAUCAGUAGGGAAGAAAAUGACGGUACCUGACUAAGAAGCCCGGGCUAACUACGUGCCAGCAGCCGCGGUAAUACGGAGGGGGCAAGCGUUAUCCGGAUUUACUGGGUGGAAAGGGAGCGUAGACGGCAGCACAAGUCGGGAGUGAAAUCCCGGGGCUUAACCCGGGAACUGCAUUUGAAACUGUGCGGCUGGAGUGCAGGAGGGGUAAGCGGAAUUCCUAGUGUAGCGGUGAAAUGCGUAGAUAUUAGGAGGAACACCGAUGGCGAAGGCAGCUUACUGGACUGUAACUGACGUUGAGGCUCGAAAGCGUGGGGAGCAAACAGGAUUAGAUACCCUAGUAGUC